GGGCCAUGUGAGGGUCUAAUUCCUCUCUCUUCUUUAGGCUACAAGAGGCCUGCAGUCAUUCAAUCUAUGUACAUAUUUAAGCAACCAGGUAUUGGUGGUGAGGUCGUGCCGCACCAGGAUAAUACAUUCCUUUACACGGAACCUCGUACAUGCACAGGGUUGUGGCUUGCACUUGAAGAUGCAACAAUCAACAAUGGUUGCCUGUGGGCAAUUCCAGGAUCACA
Molecule: long non-coding RNA, 224 nt
Organism: Zea mays
Lineage: Eukaryota; Viridiplantae; Streptophyta; Magnoliopsida; Poales; Poaceae
Exons: 2
Source: RefSeq, a predicted model, not a curated record